ACGGCGGAUCUCUAACGACCUCUGUUAUCGUCACCUGCAUCAUGGCGGCCUCCGGCGGCCUUAUUUUUGGCUACGACAUCGGGAUCUCAGGUGAUUCUCUCUUUCUCUCUCUCUCUCUCCAUCUCUCUUGAACAUUUCUAUUGUGCAAAAGAUCGAUUAGAACUGCAUCUGAUAUCAUAUUACUUGAAAAAUCAAUACAAUAAACAACAGACCUGAUUUUAUAGGGGGUGUGACGACCAUGGAAUCAUUUCUGAGAUCCUUCUUUCCCAGCGUUUUGAAGAAGAUGGCAGAAGCCAAGCAGGACGACGAAUACUGCAUGUAUGACAGCCAGGCGCUAACGGCAUUCACAUCGUCG
This 355-nucleotide long non-coding RNA is filed under the name Ananas comosus (pineapple). RNAcentral's name for it is "long non-coding RNA (ACOM_LNC029871)". Lineage: Eukaryota; Viridiplantae; Streptophyta; Magnoliopsida; Poales; Bromeliaceae. The record is from RNAcentral.